RNAcentral lists this transfer RNA (77 nucleotides) under Candidatus Roizmanbacteria bacterium. RNAcentral describes it as "tRNA-Arg". It matches the Rfam family "tRNA". Rfam says of the family: Transfer RNA (tRNA) molecules are approximately 80 nucleotides in length. Their secondary structure includes four short double-helical elements and three loops (D, anti-codon, and T loops). The record is from RNAcentral. Lineage: Bacteria; Candidatus Roizmaniibacteriota.
GCGCUCGUAGCUUAACUGGAUAGAGCAAUUCCCUUCUAAGGAAUAGGUUGAGCGUUCGAGUCGCUCCGAGCGCACCA